CUCCCCUAAUUGUAGUAAACUUAAAUGGACAAUAAUACUUAGGCUAUUUGUUUGUUUUUAGUCCCAGCCUUCAGCUACCCUCAACCCCUCACAUCUAUCUUUUACAGAUUGUAAAUUAAAGGUAAACAUUUUUGCUAAGAGUAUUAUUAUAGUAUUGAUCGAUUGACUUUUCAAAUCACCCAGCAGUGCUAUUUGCAGAGUUAGCUCAUAGUAAAUGUUUCACUGACCUUACUGGAAGUCCCUGUAGCCUCUAUUUUAACAGUCCUCUCUGUAAAUCCCUGUUCGUCCGGCAGAGAGAAUAAACUAACAAGCUAACCUACUUUUCCCCCCAUAACUGAAACCUGGACUGAGGUUGGGCCCCGACUGCUCUGGGAGAAUGUCUUCACAUUGGACUGUGCUGGCUUGCUGGAUGGAUGUGUGUGUGUCUGUAAACGCUGGCGGGGUAUUGGAGGAGAUUUAUGACCUCACUUCAGGCUGAAAUAACAGCCCAUCCAGUCCCAUAGACAUGUUCCAUAUCCCAGUAUUAGUCCCCCCUUCCCUCUAUAGUUGGUGUCUUCCAAAACUAUGCAGUUAGCAGCAAGAAAAUAGUAUGCAUUUUCCAGCUCAUGUGAACCAUCAAGCUCUCUGAAAACGGAAUAACAAACAAAUAUUUCCAUGUGUUUGACAUUAAUUUGGGUUGUUACUUCUUCUAUGAGUCUUAUUUGCAGGUCAUUUGAACUCAGAAAAAUAUGCUGAAUUUAUGCAACUAAUACAUAAUGUCACAUUCUGACCUUAGUUCCUUUGUUUUGUCUUUGUUUUAGUAUGGUCAGGGCGUGAGUUGGGGUGGGCAGUCUAGGUUUGUUUUUCUAUGUUGGUUUUUGUGUUCGGCCUAGUAUGGUUCUCAAUCAGAGACAGGUGUCGUUAGUUGGUAGCCUUUUUCCACCUGGGUUUCGUGGGUGUUUAUUUUCUGUUCAGUGUUUUGUUGCACCUUACAGAACUGUUCGUUUGUCGUUUUUUUCAGUGUUCAGUUGUUUUAUUAAAAUAAUGGACACUUGCCACGCUGCGCAUUGGUCCUCUCUUUCUCCAGACGACAACCGUUACACAUAACUGGUUUAGCUGAGGAGAAAAGCACAUGGUGAGGGACGUCAUGGCCGACAGCAGAGUGCUGGGACACCAGGGACGUGUUUCUUUUACGUCUGCUACGUUUGGAAGGUGUUUAUUUUUUGCCUGCUAAGUUAGGAAGGUGUUUAUUCUACGCCUGCUACGUUAGGUUAGGAAGGUGUUUAUUUUAUGCCUGCUACGUUAGGUUAGGAAGGUGUUUCUUUUACGCUUGCUACGUUAGGAAGGUGUUUCUUUUACGCCUGCUACGUUAGGAAGGUGUUUCUUUUACGCCUGCUACGUUAGGAAGGUGUUUCUUUUACGCCUGCUACGUUAGGAAGGUGUUUCUUUUACGCCUGCUAAGUUAGGAAGGUGUUUAUUCUACGCCUGCUACGUUAGGUUAGGAAGGUGUU
Long non-coding RNA from Oncorhynchus tshawytscha (Chinook salmon), 1490 nucleotides. NCBI's taxonomy places the organism in Eukaryota, Metazoa, Chordata, Actinopteri, Salmoniformes, Salmonidae. The record is from Ensembl.